CGGCGAACGGGUGAGUAACACGUAGGCAACCUGCCCAUGACACGGGGAUAGCUUCGGGAAACCGGAGGUAAUACCCGAUACCUUUACUUAUUGCAUGAUAAGUAAAGAAAGCGAAUAGCGGUCAUGGAUGGGCCUGCGUCCCAUUAGCUAGUUGGUGAGAUAACAGCCCACCAAGGCGACGAUGGGUAGCCGACCUGAGAGGGUGACCGGCCACACUGGAACUGAGACACGGUCCAGACUCCUACGGGAGGCAGCAGUGGGGAAUCUUGCGCAAUGGGCGAAAGCCUGACGCAGCGACGCCGCGUGAGCGAAGAAGGCCUUCGGGUCGUAAAGCUCAGUCAUUGGGGAUGAGAUGACAGUACCCAAGGAGGAAGCCCCGGCUAACUACGUGCCAGCAGCCGCGGUAAUACGUAGGGGGCGAGCGUUGUCCGGAAUUACUGGGUGUA
RNAcentral lists this ribosomal RNA (446 nucleotides) under uncultured bacterium. RNAcentral's name for it is "bacterial SSU rRNA". It matches the Rfam family "Bacterial small subunit ribosomal RNA", at positions 96 to 562 of the family's 1533-position model. The record is from RNAcentral.